GUAUCUGUAUUUUUCAAUUUAUUAAUUUCCAUUGAUUCUAAAAGUGAUAGCUUAAGGCCUUUAUUUUGAAUAUAUAGAACUAAAUAUCAUUAGACAAAUAGCAGUAAACAAUGGCUAUAACGAACAAACAGUUAACAACAUUUUAAACCAAAAACUCCAUAAGAAAGCCUUGAAAUUAGUGUAUCCACCACCACAGAAAGAACCCAGUACCUUCUGCUCUCUCACAUAUACUGGCAAAAUAACAACAAAAAUAGCCAGAUACAUAAAAAAGAAAGAAAUAACACCAGCUUUCAGAACUAACAACAACUUAAGCAAACAUAUUAAAAACAAUAAAAGCCGAAAGAGAAAGCAACUACAGAGUGGUGUGUACAAACUAACUUGUGGUGACUGUCCGAAAACUUACAUCGGUCAAACUGGCAGAACUUUUGACAAACGGAUAGCAGAACACAAAAGGGCUUUCAACAAUAGAAAAACAGACACUUCUACAUACGCACUUCACCUUCUAGAUCAUAAUCAUUCUUUCAAUGAAGAGUUUCAAAUUCUACAUAUUCAAAAUAAAGGCCUUAAGCUAUCACUUUUAGAAUCAAUGGAAAUUAAUAAAUUGAAAAAUACAGAUAUAAUUCUGAAUGACCAACUCGAGACAAACAGCUCCCCACUCCUCAACCUCUUCAGUUAAAGACUUAAAAAGGCAAACAAAUUGUAAAAUAUAUCACUUGAGAAAGGCACUUUGCCGAAACAGCUGUAGUAAUAACAUAGUUGUAAUAAAUUUUGUGGAAGUAUAGAAAAACAAA
Long non-coding RNA from Diabrotica virgifera virgifera (western corn rootworm), 791 nucleotides. RefSeq lists it as uncharacterized. NCBI's taxonomy places the organism in Eukaryota, Metazoa, Arthropoda, Insecta, Coleoptera, Chrysomelidae. The transcript is spliced from 2 exons. The record is from RefSeq and is a predicted model, not a curated record.